This 484-nucleotide ribosomal RNA is filed under the name uncultured bacterium. RNAcentral's name for it is "partial 16S ribosomal RNA". It matches the Rfam family "Bacterial small subunit ribosomal RNA", at positions 30 to 507 of the family's 1533-position model. The record is from RNAcentral.
AUUGAACGCUGGCGGCAGGCCUAACACAUGCCAGUCGAGCGGAUGAAGGGAGCUUGCUCCUGGAUUCAGCGGCGGACGGGUGAGUAAUGCCUCGGAAUCUGCCUGGUAGUGGGGGAUAACGUCCGGAAACGGGCGCUAAUACCGCAUACGUCCUGAGGGAGAAAGUGGGGGAUCUUCGGACCUCACGCUAUCAGAUGAGCCUAGGUCGGAUUAGCUAGUUGGUGGGGUAAAGGCCUACCAAGGCGACGAUCCGUAACUGGUCUGAGAGGAUGAUCAGUCACACUGGAACUGAGACACGGUCCAGACUCCUACGGGAGGCAGCAGUGGGGAAUAUUGGACAAUGGGCGAAAGCCUGAUCCAGCCAUGCCGCGUGUGUGAAGAAGGUCUUCGGAUUGUAAAGCACUUUAAGUUGGGAGGAAGGGCAGUAAGUUAAUACCUUGCUGUUUUGACGUUACCAACAGAAUAAGCACCGGCUAACUUCGUG